Mobula hypostoma (lesser devil ray) is the source of this 1264-nucleotide long non-coding RNA. RefSeq lists it as uncharacterized. The transcript has 3 exons. Lineage: Eukaryota; Metazoa; Chordata; Chondrichthyes; Myliobatiformes; Myliobatidae. The record is from RefSeq and is a predicted model, not a curated record.
GACUAUACAGAUGCCUGAAAUGAUGGCAAUAAUUAGAUUUUUUAAAGGAAGUUUAAUUUUCAUGUAAUUAUAUUUUAAAAUCAGAUAAAAAGUUCUGGAAAGGCUGUAAGAAUAAGCCUGGAAAUUAUAGGUUGAUGAGCCUGAUGUCAGUAGAGGGGAGCGGGAAGUGCAGAAUCAAAUAUCGCUGUGGUGAUUGUACGUUCUAGUAUCAAUUGUUUGGCGACAAUAAAGUAAAAUAAGCAAUAUCACAUCUGGUUGACCCAGUCAUGGGAACAGCUCUGAUUCAGCUGGAAGAAUAGACAACCCCACCCGUCAAAGGACACAAUGCCUCUACCACUGCAGCUAAGCCACAUGGUGCUGGCGAAGAACAAAGAAAAAAAAGUUACCAAUGGCAAAAUCAUACAAGCCCAUUUUUACCACACUGGUCAGGAAACUCGACAUUCAGCAAAAGCCACUACUAGUGACUGUUUUAUGUCCGCCCGUCGAGUUUAUCAUCAUGUGUAGUUACACAAGCCAUCACUUUAAGCCAAGGGUUCCCAAUCUAGGAUCUGCUGACCCCUUGUUUAAUGAUAAUAGUCAUGGCAUUAAAAAGGUUGGGAACCCCUGCUCUAAUCCAGUUGUACAAACAGUGCCAUUUUCAACCACAUAUUUUAAGUGUUAUUAAUAAAUUAUAAUAAAUGUACUUUGUAAUUCAUUGUUCACGCCAACAAAUUAUAUCUGCCUCUUACCCUCAUCAUUCAGAUUAACACAACUGGGAAGUUACACCAUUUGAAGUUCAAUAGGUCCAUAAAUCAAGUGAACUAAUGUGAAGUAGCAGCUUUAUAAUAAUUGUUGCACAGAGCAGGCUAGAAUAAGCCCAUUGUAUGACCAAGUCUUACCUCACUGCCCAAGACCCUAAACUAUACAUUGGUGCAUGAAUGAACAGCACUUCAUAAUGCUGCUCAUUAGACCUCAAAAUUAAAAGUUCAAAGUAAAUGUUAUCAAAGUACCAUAUACAACUGUGAGAUUCAUUUAAAAGUAGAUUUAAAAAGUAAUUUUUAAACUAUUUUCUGCAGCCCACAGAAAGUCACUGAAGAUCAGCUGUGCCAGUUUCAAUUACAUUCUAAGUAGACACUGGCUGUGGAUAUGUACCUAGCAUGUCCUUCAAUGCCUACCUUCCAAGUUCAAUUGGUGAUGUGCACUAGCUCAGUACACAUGGGUCAACUGUAUUCAGUGGAAAACACAUAAAAGUUGCUGGUGAACGCAGCAGGCCAGGCAGCAUCUC